CCUACGGGUGGCAGCAGUGGGGGAUAUUGCACAAUGGGGGAAACCCUGAUGCAGCGACGCCGCGUGAGUGAAGAAGUAUUUCGGUAUGUACAGCUCUAUCAGCAGGGAAGAAAAGGACAGUACCUGACCAAGAAGCCCCGGCUAACUACGUGCCAGCAGCCGAGGUAAUACGUCAGGGGCAACGGUUAUCCGGAGUUACUGGGUGUAAAGGGAGUGUAUACGGUUAGGUGAGUCUGGAGUGAAAGGCCGGGGCCGAAAACCGAGACUGCUUUGGAAACUGUGUAACUGGAGUACAGGAGGGGCAGGCGGAAUUCCUGGUGUAGCGGUGAAAUGCGUAGAUAUCAGGAGGAACACCGGCGGCGAAGGCGGCCUGCUGGACUGAAACUGACGUUGAGGCACGAAAGCGUGGGGAGCAAACAGGAUUAGAUACCCGGGUAGUC
RNAcentral lists this ribosomal RNA (440 nucleotides) under uncultured bacterium. RNAcentral describes it as "partial 16S ribosomal RNA". It matches the Rfam family "Bacterial small subunit ribosomal RNA", at positions 338 to 795 of the family's 1533-position model. The record is from RNAcentral.